Pieris rapae (cabbage white) is the source of this 960-nucleotide long non-coding RNA. RefSeq lists it as uncharacterized. The transcript has 3 exons. The record is from RefSeq and is a predicted model, not a curated record. Lineage: Eukaryota; Metazoa; Arthropoda; Insecta; Lepidoptera; Pieridae.
AUGUCCGAAAAUAUUUUGUUAUGCUUAUUGUUUGUAAAUAUCGUAUUUUGUUAUGACUAUUUGGACCUGGAUCCUAAUGACCGUUCGAGGAUGGGAAGCUAUAAGACAGAUGAGAUGGAUGAUAGUGAAGUGGCUAACAUCGACGUUGCUGGUUUAUUUCAAAGUUCGGAUGACGACGGGUUCAAUAAUAGAUUCCAAGUAGCUGAUGAUUCACGAGAAUAUCUGUCAAAUAGUAAUUUUGACUCACUUGUUGAGGCCAACUUAGAAGAGUAUCAAGGAAAUGAGGAUUACUCGAACAAAGAUACACGUGAUGACGGCUUAUUCGAUGAAAGGCCUCAAAGUUACCGGAACGAUCGUUCACUGGCCACUAAUGAAAAGGAAAUUCAAAGAUAUGACAAUUUUAAGAACCAAAAUAACUACAAGAAUUUACAAAAGAAAUGUGUGUUCAAAAAUAUGAAAAUUCCUUUUUUUUCCCAUGAGAAACGGAAGACGACUCAGCCAAAGAAGAACAAGAAAAGAAAAUUAUUUAACUUUGCAUCUAAAAACGUAAAGGGGAGGGCGAGUAAAGUUACUACGCCUUUGAGCUUGACGACACAGAGGUCUACAGAAAGCACUUUGUUUAAAUUGAAUAAAAGGUCUUAUUUAGAAGGAGUAUGUCCCAUAUGUAGACGAAAAUAUAAAGCGAGGCGGGUGAAGAGCAAUGAGGAUUCUACUAGUUUAAUUCACAAUAGCAGACAGUUUUAUAAUAGAAAACCAAAUAAUAUUGUACAUCAUGGUAAUUACAAUAAAAUAAGUAAGACCCAGGACGAGGAGCCUGAACAAACAAUCAGAGAUCCAACAUUAUCGAGUGAACUAAAUCUCUCUGGAAGAUAAUGAUUUGAGAGAUUUGUAAUAAUAUGUUUCUUUUGAAUAAUUUUGUAAGUGUAUUAGAUGUACAGUGUUUCAUUAGUCCUUUAUUUC